The sequence is a ribosomal RNA, 402 nucleotides long. It matches the Rfam family "Bacterial small subunit ribosomal RNA", at positions 355 to 774 of the family's 1533-position model.
UGGGGAAUAUUGCACAAUGGACGAAAGUCUGAUGCAGCGACGCCGCGUGAGGGAAGAAGGUAUUCGUAUUGUAAACCUCUGUCUUCGGGGACGAUAAUGACGGUACCCGAGGAGGAAGCCACGGCUAACUACGUGCCAGCAGCCGCGGUAAAACGUAGGUGGCAAGCGUUGUCCGGAAUUACUGGGUGUAAAGGGAGCGCAGGCGGAAAAGCAAGUUGAAUGUGAAAUCUAUGGGCUCAACCCAUAAAUUGCGUUCAAAACUGUUUUUCUUGAGUGAUGUAGAGGCAGGCGGAAUUCCAGGUGUAGCGGUGGAAUGCGUAGAUAUCUGGAGGAACACCGGUGGCGAAGGCGGCCUGCUGGGCAUUUACUGACGCUGAGGCUCGAAAGCAUGGGUAGCAAACA